UACUCCUGAUUGACCGAUAGUGAACCAGUACCGUGAGGGAAAGGCGAAAAGAACCCCGGCGAGGGGAGUGAAAAAGAACCUGAAACCGUGUACGUACAAGCAGUAGGAGCCUCUUUAUGGGGUGACUGCGUACCUUUUGUAUAAUGGGUCAGCGACUUAUAUUCUGUAGCAAGGUUAACCGCAUAGGGGAGCCGUAGGGAAACCGAGUCUUAACUGGGCGAAUGAGUUGCAGGGUAUAGACCCGAAACCCGGUGAUCUAUCCAUGGGCAGGUUGAAGGUUGGGUAACACUAAC
RNAcentral lists this ribosomal RNA (293 nucleotides) under Proteus mirabilis. RNAcentral describes it as "partial 23S ribosomal RNA". It matches the Rfam family "Bacterial large subunit ribosomal RNA", at positions 471 to 766 of the family's 2925-position model. The record is from RNAcentral. Lineage: Bacteria; Pseudomonadati; Pseudomonadota; Gammaproteobacteria; Enterobacterales; Morganellaceae.